CCUACGGGUGGCAGCAGUGGGGAAUAUUGCACAAUGGGCGAAAGCCUGAUGCAGCAACGCCGCGUGAGCGAUGAAGGUCUUCGGGUCGUAAAGCUCUGUCCUAAGGGAAGAAUAUUGACGGUACCUUAGGAGGCAGCCCCGGCUAACUACGUGCCAGCAGCCGCGGUAAUACGUAGGGGGCUAGCGUUAUCCGGAAUUACUGGGCGUAAAGGGUGCGUAGGCGGCCCUUCAAGUCAGAGGUGAAAGGCUACGGCUCAACCGUAGUAAGCCUUUGAAAAUGUAGGGCUUGAGUGCAGGAGAGGAGAGUGGAAGUCCCAGUGGAGCGGUGAAAUGGGUAGAUAUGGGGAGGAACACCAGUUGCGAAGGCGGCUCUCUGGAGUGUAACUGACGCUGAGGCACGAAAGCGGGGGGAGCGAACAGGAUUAGAUACCCCAGUAGUC
Molecule: ribosomal RNA, 440 nt
Filed under: uncultured bacterium
Lineage: Bacteria
Description: bacterial SSU rRNA
Rfam family: Bacterial small subunit ribosomal RNA
Source: RNAcentral